This 995-nucleotide ribosomal RNA is filed under the name uncultured bacterium. Its description in RNAcentral is "bacterial SSU rRNA". It matches the Rfam family "Bacterial small subunit ribosomal RNA", at positions 356 to 1376 of the family's 1533-position model. The record is from RNAcentral.
GGGGAAUAUUGCACAAUGGGGGAAACCCUGAUGCAGCGACGCCGCGUGGAGGAAGAAGGUCUUCGGAUUGUAAACUCCUGUUGUUGAGGAAGAUAAUGACGGUACUCAACAAGGAAGUGACGGCUAACUACGUGCCAGCAGCCGCGGUAAAACGUAGGUCACAAGCGUUGUCCGGAAUUACUGGGUGUAAAGGGAGCGCAGGCGGGAAGACAAGUUGGAAGUGAAAUCCAUGGGCUCAACCCAUGAACUGCUUUCAAAACUGUUUUUCUUGAGUAGUGCAGAGGUAGGCGGAAUUCCCGGUGUAGCGGUGGAAUGCGUAGAUAUCGGGAGGAACACCAGUGGCGAAGGCGGCCUACUGGGCACCAACUGACGCUGAGGCUCGAAAGUGUGGGUAGCAAACAGGAUUAGAUACCCUGGUAGUCCACACCGUAAACGAUGAUUACUAGGUGUUGGAGGAUUGACCCCUUCAGUGCCGCAGUUAACACAAUAAGUAAUCCACCUGGGGAGUACGACCGCAAGGUUGAAACUCAAAGGAAUUGACGGGGGCCCGCACAAGCAGUGGAGUAUGUGGUUUAAUUCGACGCAACGCGAAGAACCUUACCAAGUCUUGACAUCCUGCGACGGACAUAGAAAUAUGUUUUUCCUUCGGGACGCAGAGACAGGUGGUGCAUGGUUGUCGUCAGCUCGUGUCGUGAGAUGUUGGGUUAAGUCCCGCAACGAGCGCAACCCUUAUGGUCAGUUACUACGCAAGAGGACUCUGGCCAGACUGCCGUUGACAAAACGGAGGAAGGUGGGGAUGACGUCAAAUCAUCAUGCCCUUUAUGACUUGGGCUACACACGUACUACAAUGGCGUUAAACAAAGAGAAGCAAGACCGCGAGGUGGAGCAAAACUCAGAAACAACGUCCCAGUUCGGACUGCAGGCUGCAACUCGCCUGCACGAAGUCGGAAUUGCUAGUAAUCGUGGAUCAGCAUGCCACGGUGAAUACGUUCCCG